CAGCGCCACAAGUGGGAAUCACUAUUAUUGGGCCUAAAGCGUUCGUAGCCUGUUUGGUAAAUCCUUUGUGAAAUCGCAGAGCUUAACUCUGCGGCGUGCAGGGGACACUGCCAAACUAGGGACCGGGAGGAGCUAGAGGUAUUCUUUGGGGAGCGGUAAAAUGCUAUAAUCCAAAGAGGACCACCUGUGGCGAAGGCGUCUAGCUAGAACGGAUCCGACGGUGAGGGACGAAAGCUAGGGGAGCGAUCCGGAUUAGAUACCCGAGUAGUCC
RNAcentral lists this ribosomal RNA (271 nucleotides) under uncultured archaeon. Its description in RNAcentral is "partial 16S ribosomal RNA". It matches the Rfam family "Archaeal small subunit ribosomal RNA", at positions 477 to 747 of the family's 1478-position model. The record is from RNAcentral.